This 510-nucleotide ribosomal RNA is filed under the name Cylindrospermopsis raciborskii S14. Its description in RNAcentral is "bacterial LSU rRNA". It matches the Rfam family "Bacterial large subunit ribosomal RNA", at positions 1 to 528 of the family's 2925-position model. The record is from RNAcentral. Lineage: Bacteria; Bacillati; Cyanobacteriota; Cyanophyceae; Nostocales; Aphanizomenonaceae.
GUGGUCAAGCUAAUAAGGGCUCAUGGUGGAUACCUAGGCACACAGAGGCGAAGAAGGACGUGGUUACCUGCGAAAAGUUCCGGGGAGUUGGAAGCAAACAGAGAGCCGGAAAUAUCCGAAUGGGGCAACCCUGAAAACUGUCUGUUGAAUAUAUAGACAGGAAAGAGCGAACCUGGCGAAUUGAAACAUCUUAGUAGCCAGAGGAAAAGAAAUCAAAAGAGAUUCCCCGAGUAGUGGUGAGCGAAAGGGGAAGAGCCUAAACCAAGGGGUAUACCUCUUGGGGUAGUGGGACAGCAACAUCGAAUCCAGAGACUAGACGAAGCAGCUAAAUACUGCACCAGAGGGGGUGAAAGUCCUGUAGUCGAAAGUUAAAGGAUAGAAGCUGAAUCCCGAGUAGUACGGGGCACGAGAAAUCCCGUAUGAAUCAGCGAGGACCAUCUCGUAAGGCUAAAUACUACUGUGUGACCGAUAGAGAACAAGUACCGCGAGGGAAAGGUGAAAAGAACCCCG